GUGAGUCAUCGAAUCUUUGAACGCACAUUGCGCCCCUUGGUAUUCCAUGGGGCAUGCCUGUUCGAGCGUCAUUUGUACCUUCAAGCCUUGCUUGGUGUUGGGUGUUUGUCUCGCCUCUGCGUGUAGACUCGCCUCAAAACAAUUGGCAGCCGGCGUAUUGAUUUCGGAGCGCAGUACAUCUCGCGCUUUGCAUUCAGAACGACGACAUCCAAAAGUACAUUUUUACACUCUUGACCUCGGAUCAGGUAGGGAUACCCGCUGAACUUAAGCAUAUCAAUAAGCGGAGGA
This 288-nucleotide unclassified non-coding RNA is filed under the name Alternaria sp. RNAcentral's name for it is "partial contains 5.8S ribosomal RNA, internal transcribed spacer 2, and large subunit ribosomal RNA". The stretch from base 1 to 71 matches the Rfam family "5.8S ribosomal RNA", at positions 84 to 154 of the family's 154-position model. The record is from RNAcentral. Lineage: Eukaryota; Fungi; Ascomycota; Dothideomycetes; Pleosporales; Pleosporaceae.